RNAcentral lists this ribosomal RNA (460 nucleotides) under uncultured bacterium. RNAcentral describes it as "partial 16S ribosomal RNA". It matches the Rfam family "Bacterial small subunit ribosomal RNA", at positions 338 to 795 of the family's 1533-position model. The record is from RNAcentral.
CCUACGGGAGGCUGCAGUGAGGAAUAUUGGUCAAUGGACGAGAGUCUGAACCAGCCAAGUAGCGUGAAGGAUGACUGCCCUAUGGGUUGUAAACUUCUUUUAUAUGGGAAUAAAAUGUUCCACGUGUGGGAUUUUGUAUGUACCAUAUGAAUAAGGAUCGGCUAACUCCGUGCCAGCAGCCGCGGUAAUCCGGAGGAUCCGAGCGUUAUCCGGAUUUAUUGGGUUUAAAGGGAGCGUAGGUGGAUUGUUAAGUCAGUUGUGAAAGUUUGCGGCUCAACCGUAAAAUUGCAGUUGAAACUGGCAGUCGUGAGUACAGUAGAGGUGGGCGGAAUUCGUGGUGUAGCGGUGAAAUGCUUAGAUAUCACGAAGAACUCCGAUUGCGAAGGCAGCUCACUGGACUGCAACUGACACUGAGGCUCGAAAGUGUGGGUAUCAAACAGGAUUAGAUACCCCAGUAGUC